RNAcentral lists this ribosomal RNA (460 nucleotides) under uncultured bacterium. RNAcentral's name for it is "partial 16S ribosomal RNA". It matches the Rfam family "Bacterial small subunit ribosomal RNA", at positions 338 to 795 of the family's 1533-position model. The record is from RNAcentral.
CCUACGGGAGGCAGCAGUGAGGAAUAUUGGUCAAUGGACGAGAGUCUGAACCAGCCAAGUAGCGUGAAGGAGGACUGCCCAGUGGGUUGUAAACUUCUUUUAUAAAGGAAUAAAACGAGGCACGUGUGCCUUUUUGCGUGUACUUUAUGAAUAAGGAUCGGCUAACUCCGUGCCAGCAGCCGCGGUAAUACGGAGGAUCCGAGCGUUAUCCGGAUUUAUUGGGUUUAAAGGGAGCGUAGAUGGGUUGUUAAGUCAGUUGUGAAAGUUUGGGGCUCAACCGUAAAAUGGCAAUUGAUACUGGCAGUCUUGAGUACAGGUGAGGUAGGCGGAAUUCGCGGUGUAGCGGUGAAAUGCUUAGAUAUCACGAAGAACCCCGAUUGCGAAGGCAGCUUACUAACCUGAGACUGACACUGAGGCUCGAAAGCGUGGGUAUCAAACAGGAUUAGAUACCCGUGUAGUC